CCGGGGGGGGGCCUAUACAUGCAGUAGAACGCUGAAGAGAGGAGCUUGCUCUUCUUGGAUGAGUUGCGAACGGGUGAGUAACGCGUAGGUAACCUGCCUUGUAGCGGGGGAUAACUAUUGGAAACGAUAGCUAAUACCGCAUAACAAUGGAUGACACAUGUCAUUUAUUUGAAAGGGGCAAUUGCUCCACUACAAGAUGGACCUGCGUUGUAUUAGCUAGUAGGUGAGGUAACGGCUCACCUAGGCGACGAUACAUAGCCGACCUGAGAGGGUGAUCGGCCACACUGGGACUGAGACACGGCCCAGACUCCUACGGGAGGCAGCAGUAGGGAAUCUUCGGCAAUGGGGGCAACCCUGACCGAGCAACGCCGCGUGAGUGAAGAAGGUUUUCGGAUCGUAAAGCUCUGUUGUAAGUCAAGAACGAGUGUGAGAGUGGAAAGUUCACACUGUGACGGUAGCUUACCAGAAAGGGACGGCUAACUACGUGCCAGCAGCCGCGGUAAUACGUAGGUCCCGAGCGUUGUCCGGAUUUAUUGGGCGUAAAGCGAGCGCAGGCGGUUUGAUAAGUCUGAAGUUAAAGGCUGUGGCUCAACCAUAGUUCGCUUUGGAAACUGUCAAACUUGAGUGCAGAAGGGGAGAGUGGAAUUCCAUGUGUAGCGGUGAAAUGCGUAGAUAUAUGGAGGAACACCGGUGGCGAAAGCGGCUCUCUGGUCUGUAACUGACGCUGAGGCUCGAAAGCGUGGGGAGCGAACAGGAUUAGAUACCCUGGUAGUCCACGCCGUAAACGAUGAGUGCUAGGUGUUGGAUCCUUUCCGGGAUUCAGUGCCGCAGCUAACGCAUUAAGCACUCCGCCUGGGGAGUACGACCGCAAGGUUGAAACUCAAAGGAAUUGACGGGGGCCCGCACAAGCGGUGGAGCAUGUGGUUUAAUUCGAAGCAACGCGAAGAACCUUACCAGGUCUUGACAUCCCGAUGCUAUUUCUAGAGAUAGAAAGUUACUUCGGUACAUCGGUGACAGGUGGUGCAUGGUUGUCGUCAGCUCGUGUCGUGAGAUGUUGGGUUAAGUCCCGCAACGAGCGCAACCCCUAUUGUUAGUUGCCAUCAUUCAGUUGGGCACUCUAGCGAGACUGCCGGUAAUAAACCGGAGGAAGGUGGGGAUGACGUCAAAUCAUCAUGCCCCUUAUGACCUGGGCUACACACGUGCUACAAUGGUUGGUACAACGAGUUGCGAGUCGGUGACGGCAAGCUAAUCUCUUAAAGCCAAUCUCAGUUCGGAUUGUAGGCUGCAACUCGCCUACAUGAAGUCGGAAUCGCUAGUAAUCGCGGAUCAGCACGCCGCGGUGAAUACGUUCCCGGGCCUUGUACACACCGCCCGUCACACCACGAGAGUUUGUAACACCCGAAGUCGGUGAGGUAACCUUUUGGAGCCAGCCGCUAAGUGGAUAG
RNAcentral lists this ribosomal RNA (1445 nucleotides) under Streptococcus salivarius. RNAcentral describes it as "bacterial SSU rRNA". It matches the Rfam family "Bacterial small subunit ribosomal RNA". Lineage: Bacteria; Bacillati; Bacillota; Bacilli; Lactobacillales; Streptococcaceae. The record is from RNAcentral.